This 433-nucleotide ribosomal RNA is filed under the name uncultured bacterium. RNAcentral's name for it is "partial 16S ribosomal RNA". It matches the Rfam family "Bacterial small subunit ribosomal RNA", at positions 29 to 507 of the family's 1533-position model. The record is from RNAcentral.
AACGAACGCUGGCGGCAUGCCUAACACAUGCGAGUCGAACGAGACCUUCGGGUCUAGUGGCGCACGGGUGCGUAACGCGUGGGAACCUGCCCUUAGGUUCGGAAUAACUCCCCGAAAGGGGUGCUAAUACCGGAUAAUGUCUUCGGACCAAAGAUUUAUCGCCUUUGGAUGGGCCCGCGUUGGAUUAGCUAGUUGGUAGGGUAAAAGCCUACCAAGGCGACGAUCCAUAGCUGGUCUGAGAGGAUGAUCAGCCACACUGGGACUGAGACACGGCCCAGACUCCUACGGGAGGCAGCAGUAGGGAAUAUUGGACAAUGGGCGAAAGCCUGAUCCAGCAAUGCCGCGUGAGUGAUGAAGGCCUUAGGGUUGUAAAGCUCUUUUACCCGGGAUGAUAAUGACAGUACCGGGAGAAUAAGCUCCGGCUAACUCCGUG